GCAGGGUGGCCACCUAGUAAUCAGCACAAGUUAGAAUGUGGGCAACUCGGCAGUCGUUGCACAGGCACUUUGGUGACUCUAGAUAACCUCAGGCCGAUCCCACGUCCCCGUGACGGCGACAACGCAUUUGGAUGUCUGCCCUAUCAACUUUUGAUGGUACUUUCUGCGCCUACCAUGGUGACCACGGGUAAUGGGGAAUCAGGGUUUGAUUCCGGAGAGGGAGCCUGAGAAAUGGCUAUCACAUCCAAGGAAGGCAGCAGGCGCGCAAAUUACCCACUUCCCGAUGCGGGAGGUAGUGAC
Non-coding RNA from Pelobates cultripes (western spadefoot toad), 300 nucleotides. The record is from the annotation of a GenBank genome assembly. Lineage: Eukaryota; Metazoa; Chordata; Amphibia; Anura; Pelobatidae.